This is a long non-coding RNA of Ornithorhynchus anatinus (platypus), 395 nucleotides long. RefSeq lists it as uncharacterized. The transcript has 3 exons. The record is from RefSeq and is a predicted model, not a curated record. NCBI's taxonomy places the organism in Eukaryota, Metazoa, Chordata, Mammalia, Monotremata, Ornithorhynchidae.
CUCUGUCAACAAAAGUGAGGUGAUGCUGCAUCAGGGAUUGAGGAAAACGUGAUUUGGUAUAGACACACCAAGUUUUCUUUUGCUGGAAAUAAUGUAAUUUGUAGAUAUUUGGCAAGCACUGUAAUUAAAUUACUUAUGACAAAGAAGCAUCAUCUGUCAAUAUCGCAAACAUAAUUGCCAUUUUUGCACGAUGCCAGUAGUGUACUGAUACGACACUGUCAAGGCGAAUCAUUCUGCCGUCCUCGCAUGCCAUACAAGUACAAGUCGAACUGAUAUCCCAAUGCUGAUACUGCAGUUUCAAACUACACGCUAAUCAUCCCCAAUUGAAAAGAGACAAGCUGCUGUAGCUACGAAAUUCCAGGUGAACGGUAAUACUAUUCAUGUGAUGAUUAAGG